AAAGUCGUAACAAGGUCUCCGUAGGUGAACCUGCGGAGGGAUCAUUACUGAAUGGCCUGUCGGCCUUCAACCUUGCAAACCUGUGGAAGUGAGACGUGCUUCGGCGCUUCGGCGUCGCUUUGAUGCACAAGUCAGUCGUCUAGUCUGAAUCAAACACAAACAAUAAAACUUUCAACAAAGGAUCUCUUGGCUCUC
This 195-nucleotide unclassified non-coding RNA is filed under the name Ascomycota sp. RNAcentral's name for it is "partial contains small subunit ribosomal RNA, internal transcribed spacer 1, and 5.8S ribosomal RNA". The stretch from base 1 to 47 matches the Rfam family "Eukaryotic small subunit ribosomal RNA", at positions 1785 to 1831 of the family's 1831-position model. The record is from RNAcentral. Lineage: Eukaryota; Fungi; Ascomycota.